Molecule: non-coding RNA, 665 nt
Organism: Nicotiana tabacum (common tobacco)
Lineage: Eukaryota; Viridiplantae; Streptophyta; Magnoliopsida; Solanales; Solanaceae
Source: RefSeq, a predicted model, not a curated record
AAUAACUGAUUAAAUUGUUCUCAUUGCAGGUUGCCAGCGUGACAUUUGACUUGCUUUUGCUGUUGGUACUAGGAUCAUACUUGAUUACACUUUUCAGUUUUCUUUUUAUCACCACCAGGGGUCUUGACGAUCUUAUUAGUCUAUUCCGUCGUCCCCCAUCACGGAAAGUAAAAGCUGCUUAAUUCCUAAAGCAGGACUUCUCUGCAUCAGAUGCUUGCAAAUCAAGAAGCAGGUGUUUCUUUUUUGUAACCUUAAGGAAGAUUGUCUUGACCUAGUUGCUUCCUAUUGAUUGGUGGUCCAACGAUCAUAUUAUAAACUUUUAGAAUUCGAUGGAAAAGUUCCACUUUUGCUUUGACAAAUCAAUAGGGUAACGCAGUCAUUUUUUUCGGCUGAGAUGAGGAUGUAAUUCUCACAGGCGGCUUUUCUCAUAGAAUUAGCAGUUCUAAAAUUUAAUCUUGCUGAUGUAUCAAUUUUGACAGAAUGUAUUUAUGUUCUGAAAAGGUUCAGGAGAAUUUGCUCUGUUGGAGGAUCAUUUGUUCGCUGACAAACUAGAUUUUUGUAUUAAUUGUCUUUCUUUGAAAUAGCUCCUUCCAUGUUGAAAGUAUGCAUAUUGUAUUGAAAGGCCACAUCUCGAAUUCAAACUGCAAAACGAGGAUAUUGGUGAA